AGAAUCAACGCUGGCGGCGUGCCUAACACAUGCAAGUCGAACGAGAAAGCGGAGCAAUCCGCAAGUAAAGUGGCGCACGGGUGAGUAACACGUGACUAACCUACCCUGGAGUGGGGGAUAACUGAGAGAAAUCUUAGCUAAUACCGCAUAACACCUACGGGUCAAAGGAGCAAUUCGCUUAAGGAGGGGGUCGCGGCAGAUUAGCUAGUUGGCGGGGUAAUGGCCCACCAAGGCAGUGAUCUGUA
This 245-nucleotide ribosomal RNA is filed under the name uncultured bacterium. Its description in RNAcentral is "partial small subunit ribosomal RNA". It matches the Rfam family "Bacterial small subunit ribosomal RNA", at positions 26 to 285 of the family's 1533-position model. The record is from RNAcentral.